This is a long non-coding RNA of Drosophila miranda, 902 nucleotides long. RefSeq lists it as uncharacterized. The record is from RefSeq and is a predicted model, not a curated record. The transcript has 2 exons. Lineage: Eukaryota; Metazoa; Arthropoda; Insecta; Diptera; Drosophilidae.
UGUUUAGACAGCAGGUUGUAGUGGUGUGGGAAAGGAUUGGUAUGCCUGAAUUUAAGGACCUAGAGCGAUUAUGCCAACGAAUUGGUAGCCAAAAUUGUAUCGUUAUAAGCCGAAGGAAUACAUUUAGAUGACUCGUAAUCGGAGUAAUAGUAGAUAGCUGCCGAUCCCAAAGGAAACAAAACACGAAAGAACUCUGGCACUAGAGACCUCGACGAAAACUCUAGAAAGCUGCAACGGAUGAUCCCAAAGGACGAACCAUCCCGAGGACCAAAAAAGAGAGUUCGUGUCAUCGACGGAAGCAAACGACGGGGUCCCUUUGGUGACCCCGAUCGACACAAAGGAAUUCUCAUUUGUUACCUCGAUGGACUCGAAAGAAGCCUCCGACAAUUGGGAGCAAAGGAACUUCCAUUCAACAAAAAAAGCUUAAUUCACAAUUUUAAAAAAAACACUGAGGUAUGCCAAACAGCAAGCUUUGAUUUGUGGCAAUGUCAGGGCCCAAACUGACUAGUCAAAAUUCUGUGUGCUUCCAGAAAUAGCAACUUUGUUCUCUAAAUUUACCAUUAGGCAAAAGCCCGAAGACGCCAAGCUGGCCGACACAGGUGGUCGUGAACAGCUGGGUGAUCGCAACACAGGAGGAGGGUCCUGCCGAGAUGAUACACCCCUUGCUGUUAAUUCGACCUAGUGGUCUGAUGUCGGGCCAUGCCGAAAGCAGUGCGGGAGCGGCUAGGAUCAGCGGACCGACUGCAACGACCCGAAUCGAGAUACAGCCGAAUCAUUUGCGUUGGAUGAUCCUGUCACACCGCAUUCGUCGCGCGAUGUAUAACGAGUGAGGCGUCGAUAGGGAGAACAAAUAGGCAGCAACUUUUGGGCCAAAUAUAUCUGCAGCAGAAACAGAAAUCCAA